CUGUGUCCCCAUGUCUCCCAGUGUCCCCAUGUCUCACUGUGUCCCCUAGUAUCCUAGUGACAUGGGGACACUGGGAGAAAUGGGGACACU
RNAcentral lists this microRNA precursor (90 nucleotides) under Pelobates cultripes (western spadefoot toad). The record is from RNAcentral. Lineage: Eukaryota; Metazoa; Chordata; Amphibia; Anura; Pelobatidae.